Cygnus olor (mute swan) is the source of this 1926-nucleotide long non-coding RNA. RefSeq lists it as uncharacterized. The transcript has 2 exons. The record is from RefSeq and is a predicted model, not a curated record. Lineage: Eukaryota; Metazoa; Chordata; Aves; Anseriformes; Anatidae.
ACUUCACAUCUAAUUAACACAUCUUUUAUUUUGCUUCCCUCAGCUAGUCUUCAAACAUACUAAUUUGUAGGUUUAAUACUUCAUUUGUUAGUACAAGGGGAAAUGCAGAAGGGAUGAACUCUCUUGUGUUGGUAGCAUGCCCAAGUCAUGCAAUUUUUAAUACUGUUAAAACAGGUUGUUAGGUGGUAUAUUCCACCUCCAGGGCUCACCUGCCUGGCUGCUCAACAUGCUGCUAAUCUUUUUUAGUCAGGUGUGUGAGCAAAACUCUGGUAAGGUUGACAGGUUGCAUGAAGCAGAUAGCUCAGUGUUACUGUUAGGUAGCAACUAGCAAUAUCUACCCAAAUGGUUUUGGCACAUCACUUUGUAGCCAGCCUUCAAGAUGUUGAAAGCAGAGCUCUUUGCCAGAUCUUGGUGGUGUUGUUAGUUACUCACUCUGUACCAGUUCCUUUGCUACUUAUCAUGCAGUACAAGUCUCUAAGUCAGUAGGUCAGCAACAUUAUUGAAAUAUCAGGUAUUACUCUCUACUAGUGCUAGUCAUCGUUCACUUCUGUUGAGUAAUUAAUUUGUGAAAGAAGAAGCAGUUCCAAAGAGCACUUUAUGUCAAACUGAGGUCACCUCUCACAGUGUACUCUGAAACAAGGAAAAUACACAAGCAGUUCUGAACUGAACAUAAGAAGUAAGGCAACCGCAGGAUUUGCCAGUUCCUGAUAGCUUGGAGAAAUGUCUUAUCAACCCAAGCAUCGACCAGGACCACAACAAUAAAAAAGCCACAUGACCUGGAAGGCUUAAACUUCAUCCUCUCCAAGAACUGCACUACAUUAUCUGCAUGUUGUGGCUCAUUCCACGGAGCUGAAACCUCUGUAGCUCGGCAAUGAGGAAUAAAGGACGCUGGAGGAAGAAGCAGAGAGUGCAUUUCAUUCAACAGAUGCACAGUCUUCCUAGCAGAAGGAGGAGAAGGAGUCCAGUGGCAGACAGGCAACUUCCAAGGAUCUGCAGCUACUCCCCAACAGCCACAAGCCUGUUACAGACUAUCUCCAGGAGAGAGAAAUUCAGGUUACUGAUACUCGACGGAUGAAAAACUGAAACAAACACCACUCAAGGGACUGAAUUUCUUUUGCAUGCCGUAUGUAUGGGGCUAAGGAAGAUGGCAUGACUGCUUGCUGUAGUUGUCGAAGCCCAGAGGAAGAAACAAAGAAGAAAAAAGCCAAUGAAAUAAGGAGUACAGAAGGUCAGAAGGAAGAAAACAAGUGGUGGUAGAAGCACAGUGACCACAAUGAAUCACCGCGUUUCCAACUGUGAUAGAGACUGUUUGCAGUCUGUACAAGCAGCUCCUCACAAACAGCAGCCUCUACUUGUUUGAAAUAUCAAAACAGACUAUUUCACUCAACUGACUUCAUUUCUUCAGCAUCAGCUCCCCACUACUGUUCCCCCAUAGGGGCUAACACAGUCCUCUGUGGGAGUGACUGGCUGAGCCAAACCACUCAAACUCACAGCUUGUGGUCCUUAAGUCAUCACUGUACCACAUUCCCAUGAACGUCCACAAUAUCUUCAGCAAUAGUUCCUGUCAUUCUCCUGUGCAGGUAGCAGUAAGAACCAAGAAACGACUUGAUGAAAGGCAACUGAAACUUUAUUCUUCUCUCGCUUAAAGUGCUGCUGUAAGCCUUGGUCAGUAUGAUAUUCCUGCUUUUGCUGUCUCAGUUGUGAUCUGGAAAUAGAAGAUAGUAGGCUGCCUUCCUUCUCUUGUGCUAUUUUGGGAGCAGCUACUGCCACUAGUUAGAGUUUCCUUGUAUGAAGGAGUCUAAAGCAUCUAGUUAUUUCAGAGAUUGGCUUUUGAGUGCGAAUAUUGGGCUGUAAGAGAAGGAAUUCAAGAUGAUAAACCUGUCUCUGCAUACUAUUGAAAUCUUAAUAAACUACCAGCUUGACAGA